GAAUUUCUACAACUAUCUAAAACCAAUGCAAUUUUAUCAUAAAAUUUACAUCCAACACAUAUAACAAACAAUAAGCUCAAAAAUAUUAUAAACUUAUUUGAGCCAAUUUAAAUCAAUAUCUAUCUAAAAUUCACAGCUAAAGGAGUACAAUUCAACCAUGAUACUCAACAUGUACAGACUACAUAAUACUAUUAAUUAAUACAAUGUAUUUAUAAAAUAGUAUCACAACAGAGUUCUAAAAUUAAAAUAAAUAUUUAAAUAAACUAAUAAAUAAAUAAAAAUUUCUAAUUAAUAAUAUUAUACCCUACGAGAAAAAAUAUAACUUAGACUCUGAAGAAAAAUUGCUACUCCUGCAAUCUAGAAAAAAUUAUUGAAUAAGAAUGAAUGUUUAACUCAAUGAGUUUAGAUGUUGAUUACAAAUG
RNAcentral lists this unclassified non-coding RNA (422 nucleotides) under Hevea brasiliensis (rubber tree). Lineage: Eukaryota; Viridiplantae; Streptophyta; Magnoliopsida; Malpighiales; Euphorbiaceae. The record is from RNAcentral.